CGUUUAGAAAAUAGCAGCAAUACCAAGAACGCGCCUCACGCGCGGAGAAAAACCAGAGGGAGAUCGAGAGUGCUCUCUCCCGGCGGAACGCCGCCGGCUCACCUGCUGCUGUGUUCCGGUCCGGGAGAGGAUGACAACAUGGGCUAGCGGCGGGGUUCUAGGGCGGAGGCCUGGCUUAGGGAUGGAGGAGGGCGGCGCGAUCUCGGACAAAGAAGACCAAUCUGGACUCUUUCUUCUUGGAUAGUGGGUGACUUCCGACAUGGAGCAUCGGCGAGGUGCAAUUUGCCAGCGGGGCACGUUUUUCCGGCUACUUCUGGCGUCACGGGUGCUUAUGAGAGCUUGGAGAUGGCUGGGUUCUCGAUCUCAUGGCAGAGGCGAGCCCAGAUGGGAUCCGAUUCCUUAUGGAAUUUGAUCUAGAACGAUGGCCAUGUUCUAGUGUGGGUGACUUUGUGGUGUGACGGUGUUGCGGCGUUGGGAUGCGAUGCAGCCGAGGGGCAGUGCAAGGUGGAGAGAUGGCGGUGCGCGCGGACACGGGUUGCAGCCUUGGUGGAUUGUGGUUCGGCCUUGGUGGAUCGCAGAGCUGGUUCCGUGUGGGAAAUGUUUUUGCAGUGUUAAGUCCAUACUCUGUCGAGUUAUGGUAGUCGCCGUUGAUUCCUGCAAGCAAUUGGAGUUGAGUAGCUGGUUUGUUGCUAAAACCCUAAUUUUCUUCCCUGCCAUCCAAAAUCUAGAGUCAUAGAAUAGCUGAAGAGUGGAAUCCUUAGUCAAUCAAAGAUGAAAAUUCAGGUGCAGGGAAGAAAAAGAAGAGAGAUAUUCAUUGCCACCAAACCCUCCAUAUAGUAGAAUCCUUAGAUCUGGCUCCUUAUGACAAGCAAGCAACUCCUGAACAGAAUUCUCUCAAGGGAAUGAAAGAUCCAAAGCUUGAUUGAAAUCUAAAGACACAAAAAGAAGAUGGGCCAAGGAGAUCAGGUCUUGUCACUUGCAUGCUACUCAAAGAAGACUCGGGAAAUUUAGAUGACGCUAUGGAUCGAGACUGCAAAUAAUGUUGUUUUGUUGGAAAUAAAUGCUGGCUUAACACUUGAAGUCCUUUCUCUUUAACAGAAUACAUGAAGAUAUGCAUUGGUGCUGCACUGGCUGCAUUAGCAUUGUUGCUGGCAACUUUGAUGGUAACAUUGGCAGUAUAGAAACUUGUUAGGAACAUUGUAAUCGUAAAGAUUUAACAAUUAUCUGGUAUUGUAUAUCCAUUCCUACUGUAUUUUAGAGACAAAUAUAUGAUUUUGUUUAAUAAAAGUGAAGGUGGAUUAUAUUA
Rosa chinensis is the source of this 1306-nucleotide long non-coding RNA. RefSeq lists it as uncharacterized. The transcript is spliced from 6 exons. NCBI's taxonomy places the organism in Eukaryota, Viridiplantae, Streptophyta, Magnoliopsida, Rosales, Rosaceae. The record is from RefSeq and is a predicted model, not a curated record.